This 440-nucleotide ribosomal RNA is filed under the name uncultured bacterium. RNAcentral's name for it is "partial 16S ribosomal RNA". It matches the Rfam family "Bacterial small subunit ribosomal RNA", at positions 338 to 795 of the family's 1533-position model. The record is from RNAcentral.
CCUACGGGUGGCAGCAGUGGGGAAUAUUGCACAAUGGGGGAAACCCUGAUGCAGCGACGCCGCGUGAGUGAAGAAGUAUCUCGGUACGUAAAGCUCUAUCAGCAGGGAAGAAAAUGACGGUACCUGACUAAGAAGCCCCGGCUAACUACGUGCCAGGAGCCGCGGUAAUACGUAGGGGGCAAGCGUUAUCCGGAUUUACUGGGUGUAAAGGGAGCGUAGACGGCAGCACAAGUCUGGAGUAAAAUCCCGGGGCUUAACCCCGGAACUGCCUUGGAAACUGUGCGGCUGGAGUGCAGGAGGGGUAGGCGGAAUUCGUAGUGUAGCGGUGAAAUGCGUAGAUAUUAGGAGGAACACCGGUGGCGAAGGCAGCUUACUGGACUGUAACUGACGUUGAGGCUCGAAAGCGUGGGGAUCAAACAGGAUUAGAUACCCCUGUAGUC